AAGUUCCACCUUAGAGGUAUUAAUCCCUUCUCCAAAGAAUUUUUUUCUAAAAAGACUGUCCUAAGACUGACAAACAUCUUUUAUUCAUCAGUAACGUAAAAGUAAUACCCCUUAGUUUCUUUAAGAUAUUCUAUAAAAAUAUAUUUAUCAGAUCUGGCUCCAAAUUUGUCUGUUUUUAAAUGUUUGACAUAAGUCGGAGAUCCCCAAACCC
Molecule: long non-coding RNA, 211 nt
Filed under: Elaeis guineensis (African oil palm)
Lineage: Eukaryota; Viridiplantae; Streptophyta; Magnoliopsida; Arecales; Arecaceae
Description: long non-coding RNA (EGUI_LNC040518)
Source: RNAcentral